RNAcentral lists this ribosomal RNA (255 nucleotides) under uncultured bacterium. Its description in RNAcentral is "partial 16S ribosomal RNA". It matches the Rfam family "Bacterial small subunit ribosomal RNA", at positions 526 to 779 of the family's 1533-position model. The record is from RNAcentral.
CGGAGGGUGCAAGCGUUGUCCGGAUUUAUUGGGUUUAAAAGGGUGCGUAGGCGGUCCAUUAAGUCCGGGGUGAAAGCCCGUUGCUCAACAACGGAACUGCCCUGGAAACUGGCGGACUUGAGUACAGACGAGGUUGGCGGAAUAGAAGGUGUAGCGGUGAAAUGCAUAGAUACCUUCUAGAACCCCGAUUGCGAAGGCAGCUGACUAGGCUGUUACUGACGCUGAGGCACGAAAGCGUGGGGAGCGAACAGGAUU